Molecule: ribosomal RNA, 375 nt
Filed under: uncultured bacterium
Lineage: Bacteria
Description: bacterial SSU rRNA
Rfam family: Bacterial small subunit ribosomal RNA
Source: RNAcentral
AGGCGACGACGGGUAGCCGGCCUGAGAGGGCGACCGGCCACACUGGGACUGAGACACGGCCCAGACUCCUACGGGAGGCAGCAGUGGGGAAUAUUGCGCAAUGGGCGAAAGCCUGACGCAGCAACGCCGCGUGGGGGAUGACGGCCUUCGGGUUGUAAACCCCUUUCAGCAGGGACGAAGCGAAAGUGACGGUACCUGCAGAAGAAGCGCCGGCUAACUACGUGCCAGCAGCCGCGGUAAUACGUAGGGCGCAAGCGUUGUCCGGAAUUAUUGGGCGUAAAGAGCUCGUAGGUGGUUUGUCGCGUCUGCUGUGAAAACCUAAGGCUUAACCUUGGGCUUGCAGUGGAUACGGGCAGACUAGAGGUAGGUAGGGGA